AGAGAGAGACAUGCGCGCAUAUCAAUAAGCGGAGGAAAAGAAACUAACUAGGAUUCCCUCAGUAACGGCGAGUGAAGCGGGAAGAGCUCAAAUUUGAAAUCUUCAAGGUUCUACCUUGACGAAUUGUAGUUUAAAGAAGUGUUUUCUGUUGGAGUUUUGGUAAAAGUUCUUUGGAAUAGGACAUCAUAGAGGGUGAGAAUCCCGUAUUUGACCAUUAUUUCCAGCUUUGUGAUACACUUUCAAAGAGUCGGAUUGUUUGGGAAUGCAGUCCAAAAUGGGUGGUAAAUUUCAUCUAAAGCUAAAUAUUGGCGAGAGACCGAUAGCGAACAAGUACCGUGAGGGAAAGAUGAAAAGAACUUUGAAAAGAGAGUUAAACAGUACGUGAAAUUGUCAAAAGGGAAGCGUUUGACACCAGUGUUGUUUUCUCGAAAAUCAAUUAAAAAAGGCAGGAUUUUGUGUUGUAUUGACUUUAUCAGCUUUCUGCACUCUUUUCUUGUCUUUUUUAAUGCACUUUUCGUUUAACAAGUCAACAUCAAUUUCUUUUGUUGUAAAAGGGUCAUUGGAAGGUGGCUUUCUUUUCGGAGAAAGUGUUUAUAGCCCUUGGCCUCUGCAAUCGGAGAGAUUGAGGUCUGCAGCGUAGAUCCUUCGGGGUUAGAUACAUUUGUGCUAAGUUAUAGCCUUUCAUAGACAACUUGUUGACUAUGAUCAGUCAUGUAGCUUACUCGCUUAUGCUAUUUUACCUACGCUUAGGAUGUUGAUGUGAUACUGCGAGCA
RNAcentral lists this ribosomal RNA (774 nucleotides) under uncultured Neocallimastigales. RNAcentral's name for it is "partial large subunit ribosomal RNA". It matches the Rfam family "Eukaryotic large subunit ribosomal RNA", at positions 23 to 628 of the family's 3401-position model. The record is from RNAcentral. Lineage: Eukaryota; Fungi; Neocallimastigomycota; Neocallimastigomycetes; Neocallimastigales.